This 74-nucleotide transfer RNA is filed under the name Kiloniella litopenaei. It matches the Rfam family "tRNA". Rfam says of the family: Transfer RNA (tRNA) molecules are approximately 80 nucleotides in length. Their secondary structure includes four short double-helical elements and three loops (D, anti-codon, and T loops). Further hydrogen bonds mediate the characteristic L-shaped molecular structure. tRNAs have two regions of fundamental functional importance: the anti-codon, which is responsible for specific mRNA codon recognition, and the 3' end, to which the tRNAs corresponding amino acid is attached (by aminoacyl-tRNA synthetases). tRNAs cope with the degeneracy of the genetic code in two manners: having more than one tRNA (with a specific anti-codon) for a particular amino acid; and 'wobble' base-pairing, i.e. permitting non-standard base-pairing at the 3rd anti-codon position. The record is from Rfam by way of RNAcentral. Lineage: Bacteria; Pseudomonadati; Pseudomonadota; Alphaproteobacteria; Rhodospirillales; Kiloniellaceae.
GGUCCCGUAGCUCAGCAGGAUAGAGCAUCAGAUUCCUAAUCUGAGGGUCGCGCGUUCGAAUCGCGCCGGGACCA